GAACCCCUUGACCUCAAAUCGGGUGAGACUACCCGCUGAACUUAAGCAUAUCAAUAAGCGGAG
This 63-nucleotide ribosomal RNA is filed under the name Lactifluus rubroviolascens. RNAcentral's name for it is "Lactarius rubroviolascens partial 28S large subunit ribosomal RNA". The stretch from base 9 to 63 matches the Rfam family "Eukaryotic large subunit ribosomal RNA", at positions 1 to 55 of the family's 3401-position model. Lineage: Eukaryota; Fungi; Basidiomycota; Agaricomycetes; Russulales; Russulaceae. The record is from RNAcentral.